AGCGAACGCUGGCGGCAGGCUUAACACAUGCAAGUCGAGCGGGCAUAGCAAUCUGUCAGCGGCAGACGGGUGCGUAACGCGUGGGAACGUACCGUUUGGUUCGGAACAGCACAGGGAAACUUGUGCUAAUACCGGAUAAGCCCUUACGGGGAAAGAUUUAGCGCCGAAAGAUCGGCCCGCGUCGGAUUAGCUAGUUGGUGAGGUAAUGGCUCACCAAGGCGACGAGCAGUAGCUGGUCUGAGAGGAUGAUCAGCCACAUUGGGACUGAGACACGGCCCAAACUCCUACGGGAGGGAGCAGUGGGGAAUACUGGACAAUGGGCGCAAGCCUGAAGGAGCCAUGACGGGUGAGCGAUGAAGGCCGUAGGGUUGUAAAGCUCUUUUGUGCGGGAAGAUAAUGACGGUACCGAAAGAAUAAGCCCCGGCUAACUUCGUG
RNAcentral lists this ribosomal RNA (435 nucleotides) under uncultured bacterium. RNAcentral describes it as "partial 16S ribosomal RNA". It matches the Rfam family "Bacterial small subunit ribosomal RNA", at positions 29 to 507 of the family's 1533-position model. The record is from RNAcentral.